This 1225-nucleotide ribosomal RNA is filed under the name metagenome. RNAcentral's name for it is "SSU rRNA". It matches the Rfam family "Eukaryotic small subunit ribosomal RNA", at positions 492 to 1774 of the family's 1831-position model. The record is from RNAcentral.
CCUCAUGUUUUCACGGUAUUGCAAUGAGAACAAUUUAAAACCCUUAGCGAGAAUCAAGUGGAGGGCAAGUCUGGUGCCAGCACCCGCGGUAAUUCCAGCUCCACUAGCGUAUAUUAAAGUUGUUGCAGUUAAAAAGCUCGUAGUUGAACCUCUGUCUGGGGCUAGUUUUGGCUUUGGUCAGGCUAGUUCUAGGCAUCCGCCUACAAGACUUAGAGGGCAUUCAGUUGUUCACUAGGAGGAGUAGGCAUUUUACUUUGAAAAAAUUAGAGUGUUUAAGGCAGGCAAUCGCCCGCAUAUAUUAGCAUGGAAUAAUAGAAUAGGACACUUUUCCAUUUCGUUGGUUAUUGGAAUCGUGUAAUGAUUAAUAGGGACAGUUGUGGGCAUUUGUAUUUAAUUGUCAGAGGUGAAAUUCUUGGAUUUAUUAAAGACAAACUAACGCGAAAGCAUUUGCCAAGGAUGUUUUCAUUAAUCAAGAACGAAAGUUAGGGGAUCAAAGACGAUCAGAUACCGUCCUAGUCUUAACUAUAAACUAUUCCGACUCAAUGUUUGACUGGCUUAUAUAACCAGUUGAGCGUUGUAUGAGAAAUCAGAGUCUUUAGGUUCUGGGGGGAGUAUGGUUGCAAAGCUGAAACUUAAAGGAAUUGACGGAAGAGCACAACCAGGAGUGGAUUCUGCGGCUUAAUUUGACUCAACACGGGGAAACUUACCAGGUUAAAACAAUAGUGGGAUUGACAGUUUGAGAGCGCUUUCUUGAUUGGUUGGGUGGUGGUGCAUGGCCGUUCUUAGUUGGUGGAGUGAUUUGUCUGCUUAAUUGCGUUAACGAACGAGACCUUAACCUGCUUACUAGACUGGCGAUCAUCAAUCGUUAGCUCUUCUUAGAGGGACUUUGGUUGUUUUAACUCCAAGGAAGUUUGAGGCAAUAACAGGUCUGUGAUGCCCUUAGAUAUCCUGGGCCGCACGCGUCAUACAAUGACUAGUUCAGAAAGUUUUCUCCUGACCCGAAAGGGGAUGGGUAAUCUUGAUAAUACUAGUCGUGUUAGGGAUCGAUCUUUGCAAUUAUAGAUCUUGAACGAGGAAUUCCUAGUAAGUGCGGUUCAUCAGACCGUACUGAUUACGUCCCUGCUCUUUGUACACACCGCCCGUCGCUUCUACCGAGUGGGUGGUCCGGUGAGAUAAUUGAACUUCGCAGGUAACUGAGAGGAAAGAUUAUCAAACCUAUCCACCU